GCUCAGGAGGGUCCAUAGCUCAGUGGUAGGGCAUCUGCUAUGCAUGCAGACAGUCCCAGGUUCAAUCCCUGGCAUCUCUGGGUA
Podarcis lilfordi (Lilford's wall lizard) is the source of this 84-nucleotide non-coding RNA. The record is from the annotation of a GenBank genome assembly. NCBI's taxonomy places the organism in Eukaryota, Metazoa, Chordata, Lepidosauria, Squamata, Lacertidae.